Molecule: RNA transcript, 2675 nt
Organism: Columba livia (rock pigeon)
Lineage: Eukaryota; Metazoa; Chordata; Aves; Columbiformes; Columbidae
Exons: 6
Source: RefSeq, a predicted model, not a curated record
GCUCCCCCACCCCUGACCCCUCCUGUUCCGAGGAGGCGCCGCUCCCCAGCCAGGGCGCGUUCUCCGGGCUGCGGCGGAGCCGCCCGGCCGGGUCUGCGGGCGGCAGCCGGACGCUCUGGCUUCUGUCCCAAGGUCACCCCGCUGAGCGACAGCGGCACAAGCCCGGAGGGGCUGCGGGAGGGGCGGCUCCCGGUCACCCCCCUGCCCCGUCCCGGUGCCUCAUGGCGGAGCUGCCUCCGCUCUGGCCCCGCCGAUGCUGCCCGUGCUCUUCCUCCUCCUCCUCCUCGCCUGUCCCGGGAGCUCGGCGGGCGGGCUGGGGAUCACAGCCCGCACACUUUCUCCAUGCUACUCUGCUGACCUCAGGCCAGCAUCACAGAGACUCGUCUCGGCUGUGGGCUGCACUGUGCUUUUGACAGUACCACCAGUGAACGCCAGCGAAGUUGUCUUCUGGGAAUACAAAACCGUCUCGCAGGAAGGAGUCAUAAUCAAUUAUGCUUUUGAUAGACCUGCCAACGUGUCUCGUCCCUAUGAGAAUCGUACAUGGUUCAAUGAAACGGACUUCUCACUGCAGAUCGUGUUGCAGCAGGGAGAUGACCAGCUGUACCGGUUCAGGUCCGAGUUGGAGGCCACAGACUGGUUCCAGCUGCGCGUUGUCGAACCGCUGUCCGAGCCAGAAAUUGUGGGCAACUCAUCCGUGAAGGAAGGAGGCAACACCAAACUGGUUUGCAACGUCCUGGAAGGGAAGGCAGACUUGUACUGGUGGAAGAAAAAUGGGGAGUUGCUUCUGGGAAGCGACCACAUCCAGUUUGUUGACAAUACCACCCUGUGCAUCAUUAAAGCAUCAAUAAAUGACAGCGGCUACUACGCUUGCGUGGUCCGCAAUGAAGUCAGCCAGAAUGAAACCUCCUUCCUGCUCCAUGUCCAGAAUGCUGCAAACGUGGUGUUGCCCGUGCUCCUGGCAUGCGUUAUCAUGGGCUCGCUCGCAGGUGAGUGCUGGGGCUGACUCUUCACUGGAUUUUUGGCGGGUUGCUGCAUCACUGCUGGAGGUGUCUUCGUCUGGUGCAGGAGAAGGGACCGCCCGUGUCGCAAUGGCUGUAGGUGGAGAUCUUGAGCAGCUGUGCCCUUGCUGCCUUCCCCUGAUGGUGGUGGAUGCUGCCCGGGGAGCGCCAGAUGUUGGAUGCUGUCCCAGCCUCUGAAUUGCUUAAGCUGCCGAAGCCCACAAAUAUUUUUUGUAUAACACCAGCCUGGACUAUUUCUGUGUUGUCCUGCUUGUCCCCAAGGCCCCUUGCACAUCCCUGGGGGAGAAGUGGGCAUGGCUGUGUCUGGAGACCUGGCUGCUGCUGUGCUCCAGACCUCCUCAGGUCUCCAGCCUUCCUCCAGAGCCCAUCUGGGGUAAGUGCUUGUGGAUGGGCUGAUUGCUUUGGAAAAAUGCUCCAUCUCCACUGGACAAACACAGUCCCGGGGCUGCUGGGGAGUGCUGUGGUGACACAGCCCGGUGUGGGAGAUGUAGGGAUGCUCCCGAGCCCAUCUCCUCUGUCCUCCAGCCUUGGGCUCUGACAGGAUCUGGGGACGUGUCCUCCUCUUCUGAGCACUCACCACCCGGGUCCUACGUGUUGUCCUUUGCUUUUGCUGCUCCUGCGGGUGAUGGUAGACUUGGUCUGGUUUGAUAUGGCUGGGGCAGCCCUGUUCCCAGCCCCUGCUCUUGUUGCCUCCCUUCCUCACGCUGCUUCUGCAAAGCUCUUCUGGGCUUUGCUCGUGAAGGGGGUCAUUAUUCAUUCUUAUAGUUGAAAUUACUUAGCUUGAAGGCACAACUUCCAUCUUCAUACUGGAAAGAACUGGAUGCUCUCCCAGGAGCCCUGGACCUCACAAGGUGCUUUUUGCUGAUCAUCAGACCAGGGUAUUUGCACCCAUAUUUCAUUCUGAUGGGUUUAGGCUCAGGCACUGAGCUGGUCCCCAGCACCUCUGUGGGUGCAGCUGUUUUGGGUGUCCUGGUCUAGCUACUGGAUGGUCACUUCUGGUGACCACCAGCAGCUGGUGGCCUGGGGACCUCUCCUUGGCCCAAGCCACAGUCAGCAAAUGGAGAGUGGUACGAGUGGGUGUUUUUAGAGCUUGGGUCUUGCCUGUAGACCUGCAAAGGGCUUUCCUGGCCAGGGGAGCAGUGGGUGUCCCUCUCCUCAGAGUUAUCCCUUCUCUCUGGAGAACAGACAUACAUGUGGGAGAGGCUCAAAUCAUAUCCCACGAUGUGAGCAGUCACCAAGCUGCCCUACAUCUCUUUCUGGGGCAAACAGGGAAAUCACAGGAGAGUGAACUGGCUCAAGUGUCUUGGAUUCUGGCCACUCUGGCGCUGGUCCAUCCCAUGGAGCUCUGUCCUGUGAGAUAACUGGGAUAUAAAAGGGCCAGCAGCAAAGGGCCAUCUAUCAGCCUGGGAUUUCAUGUUGCAAUUAAAGCACUAAAGGAAACAGGGCGGUUUGGGUGCAGUAAACUAGAUUUCAGUGUCAGCUUUAAGCUGCAAUGCAGGUUGUCGAAUUUUCUGUUGCACUUGUAGGUAUAACAUGUCUCAUGUUUUACAAAAAAUACUUUUCUAAACUUUUUGGAGAGUUGUCUGUAAAUCAUUUUGGAGAUGUUGUGGUUUGUUCAUGUCUAUUGCUGCUAAUAAAAGCGCCUGUAUAAUCCCA